Molecule: long non-coding RNA, 339 nt
Filed under: Mytilus galloprovincialis (Mediterranean mussel)
Lineage: Eukaryota; Metazoa; Mollusca; Bivalvia; Mytilida; Mytilidae
Source: RNAcentral
GUAUAGUAUUUUUUCUUGAUUUGUAUUUUAUUAUGACAAUAUAAUUCCUUCAACAUGUUCAACAUGUAGAUACUAUUCAGAUUGGACAUUGUAGUACUUUUCAAUGUCAGCAUGUGGAAAGUCACCCCAUAUGCAUUUCUCUCCGAAAUCAAUACAUAUUGACUUUAAACAGGCCAUGCACAAUGCUGUAAGCGUAUAAAUAUGAAUAUAACCAUCUCAGUUCUUAGAUGUUAAACCAUAGCCAGAUCAGAGCCACACACAUAAUAGAAAGAAAAAAGAAAAAAAAAAGGCAUAACAAUUAUAUCUAUUAAUAACUUUGUAGCCCAUAUUAAGGACCCC